Molecule: ribosomal RNA, 475 nt
Filed under: unidentified nematode Sourhope farm
Lineage: Eukaryota; Metazoa; Nematoda
Description: SSU rRNA
Rfam family: Eukaryotic small subunit ribosomal RNA
Source: RNAcentral
UCUAAGUAUAACCUGCCAGACAGGGAAACUGCGUACGGCUCAUUACACCAGCCUUAAUUUACUUGACCUUGACAACCUACUUGGAUAACUGUGGUAAUUCUAGAGCUAAUACAUGCACCAAAGCUCCGAUCCUCGCGGAGAGGAGCGCAUUUGUUCGCCACAAAACCAAGCCCCCAUCUGGGCGUCCAGUGCUGAACCAGAACAACUCAGCUGAUCGCACGGUCUUGUACCGGCGACGUGUCUUUCAAGUGUCUGCCUUAUCAACUUUCGAUGGUAGUGUACCUGACUACCAUGGUUGUGACGGGUAACGGAGGAUAAGGGUUCGACUCCGGAGAAGGGGCCUGAGAAAUGGCCACUACGUCUAAGGAUGGCAGCAGGCGCGCAAAUUACCCACUCUCAACGCGAGGAGGUAGUGACGAGAAAUAACGAGACCGUUCUCAUACGAGGCCGGUUAUUGGAAUGGGUACAAUUUAAA